This 25-nucleotide microRNA is filed under the name Gadus morhua (Atlantic cod). RNAcentral describes it as "gmo-miR-11189-5p". The record is from miRBase by way of RNAcentral. Lineage: Eukaryota; Metazoa; Chordata; Actinopteri; Gadiformes; Gadidae.
UGCUAGGGUAAUAUCCAUCAGGUUG